Molecule: long non-coding RNA, 833 nt
Organism: Carassius gibelio (silver crucian carp)
Lineage: Eukaryota; Metazoa; Chordata; Actinopteri; Cypriniformes; Cyprinidae
Exons: 3
Source: RefSeq, a predicted model, not a curated record
UCAGGUCUAAAAUAUCAAGCUCAGCAACUCACUCAAGAGCCAACCCUCACAAACCUUCCUAAAAACUAAAAGAGCUAUUACUGAGUCUCAGCGAAUCUUGCCAUGAUCAGCUCUUCCCAGAAGAGAAGGAAGACCAAGGAAAUGAUUUGCUCAGGAUGAGGAAUGAAGAUGGCCAUCUUGAGCUCAAACAAACAGAAGUCCUCUGAUGAUCUCAUCAGCCAAAUGAGGGGUUUUGACCAAGUGAUGCUCUUGAAAGGAGUGAAAGAAGAGGAUGUGGUAAAUUGUCUUCAGAGAAAAAGCUUCUCAAAAGAUCUUAAAACAGCUUGAAGAAUGGUAAGUGUACAGUACUACAAGGGUCAUAGUUGCUCACACUGCUAAAAUCACACAGAACAUAAGCUGAGCUCUCUGUCCAUUAAACAACUUCAUCUGGAUUGUUUGUUUCAUUUUGACCAGGUCUGGGAUCUUAGGACUGAGAGAUCCUCUGGCUGAGGACAAGCUACACCACAUCAGUGCUGGAUAUCAGCCACAAACUGUUUCCAGACAGGAGAGAAGAAGAUCAUGAUGGGGAGAUGAAACCAGUUUAGAUGUGAUGAUGGGAAUCAUUAUUUUCUGGAACAGUAUCUCAUGUCUUAUAUGUAUCACAUGAUCUGUAUCACAGUUGACUGGAUGGGACUGUGUGACUUUUAAGGACAUUUCAUCACUCAUCUGUGUGAACUGAUUUAUAUAUGAGGUUAAUGUAUUUUUGAUGAUAAUUAUUUUCAUUGAAUCUUAUUCGUCUUGAUGCUACUUUAUCAACUUUAUAGUCUAUGCUUCAAUAAAAUGAAAAUGGUGAA